GUGAAUGAUGAAAUACGCACUGGGCUUUGAGCAGUUUGUUUUUUGCAGUUAUUGAUGGAAAUACAGCCUAGAAAGCUAUAUCUGACCC
Molecule: small nucleolar RNA, 88 nt
Organism: Cornus florida
Lineage: Eukaryota; Viridiplantae; Streptophyta; Magnoliopsida; Cornales; Cornaceae
Source: RefSeq, a predicted model, not a curated record